This 108-nucleotide ribosomal RNA is filed under the name Halophila stipulacea. RNAcentral describes it as "partial small subunit ribosomal RNA". It matches the Rfam family "Eukaryotic small subunit ribosomal RNA", at positions 1325 to 1452 of the family's 1831-position model. RNAcentral also lists the same sequence under 1 other name. The record is from RNAcentral. Lineage: Eukaryota; Viridiplantae; Streptophyta; Magnoliopsida; Alismatales; Hydrocharitaceae.
GCGUUAACGAACGAGACCUCAGCCUGCUAACUAGCUAUGCGGAGGCAACCCUCCGUGGCCAGCUUCUUAGAGGGACUAUGGCCGCUCAGGCCACGGAAGUUUGAGGCA